RNAcentral lists this ribosomal RNA (253 nucleotides) under uncultured bacterium. Its description in RNAcentral is "partial 16S ribosomal RNA". It matches the Rfam family "Bacterial small subunit ribosomal RNA", at positions 524 to 776 of the family's 1533-position model. The record is from RNAcentral.
UACGAAGGGGACUAGCGUUGUUCGGAUUUACUGGGCGUAAAGGGCGCGUAGGCGGAUCGAUAGGUCAGGGGUGAAAUCCCAGGGCUCAACCCUGGAACUGCCUUUGAUACUGACGGUCUGGAGAUCGGGAGAGGUUGGUGGAAUUCCGAGUGUAGAGGUGAAAUUCGUAGAUAUUCGGAGGAACACCAGAAGCGAAGGCGGCCAACUGGCCCGAUACUGACGCUGAGGCGCGAAAGCGUGGGGAGCAAACAGG